AGCCAAAUUUUGGAACCACUGUCUUACACCCUGGCCACUUUCCCCUUUCCCGUUGCCUCCCUUGGCGCGCCCUGAGCCAUUUGACUCCUGCUCUUCUCCAGAUCCCAAAGUUUGGCUUCCCAGGCUGUGCCAGGCCGGCUUGGCCCUGCCCACUGCUUUAAUCCCACCCUAGUUCUGGGAUUGUGAAGCCAAACAUUUCCUCCUUCACUCCUCCCCAAGUCCCUUCUUAGUGUAGGUGGUUUUACUUUUUGGGGGCGUUUCGGGUGAGGACCUUUGUCCGAGACUUCUGAAAAAACGAAAGAACUCCGAUCCUCCUCUGGUCUGAGUUUCUGCCCUGCAUCAUUUUCUUUGUCACAGAGGAACAUCUUUUAACAUUCUCGCAAGGAGAACACAGACCGUGCUCCAACAAGUGUCUGACAACAAUUUGAAGCUUGAUGUUGAGCCCUUCAAAACCACACAGUCUUAGUGUAUCUAAACACCUGAAGAAGAAACUGCUGGUUGCUUACUCCAACAUCUGUUCUUCUCUUCCUCAACAACAAAGACUUGAAUUUGUUUUUUUUUUAAUAUAUUCUUUUUUUUUUUUUGAGGAAGAUUAGCCCUGAGCUGACAUCUGCUGCCAAUCCUCCUCUUUUUGCUGAGGAAGGCUGGCCCUAAGCUAACAUCUGUGCCCAUCUUCCUCUCCUUUAUAUGUGGGACGCCUACCACAGCAUGGCUUGCCAAGCGGUGCCAUAUCCGCACCCAGGAUC
RNAcentral lists this long non-coding RNA (746 nucleotides) under Equus asinus (donkey). RNAcentral's name for it is "lncRNA (ENSEASG00005025834.1)". The record is from RNAcentral. Lineage: Eukaryota; Metazoa; Chordata; Mammalia; Perissodactyla; Equidae.